UCACCUCCCAGAAAUGGAUUAACGGCUGCAUGAGCAAACCAACCACUGGCCCCUCCACCUUUUCCCUUUGCUUUCUCAGUUCUCACUCGGACUCAGUCAUGGCGAUUUCUCUCUCGUUCAACACUCUCCAACUCAACACCUGCACCAAUCAUCUCUCGAUGCGUGCGUUUCCCAACCAAUCAUCAAACCUCAAGCUCCUCCGCUUCUUACCUACCAAUUUCACUCACGCACAGCCAAGCCGCCUCUUCGCUGCCUCUGCGGUCUCUAAUUCUCCAGGAAUUGAAGCUUCUAGUUCAGUUGGCGAAGAAAUUGUGAAUUCAUUGGACAGUGUGAAAGUCUUUGAUUUGAAUGGAAACGAAAUUUUGGUUUCCAAUUUGUGGAAAGAUCGAAAAGCGGUUGUAGCAUUUGCUCGUCACUUCGGAUGUGUGCUUUGCCGGAAGCGAGCGGACUAUCUUGCCUCGAAGAAGGAUGUAAUGGAUGCAUCUGGCGUGGCUCUUGUUUUGAUUGGACCUGGUAGUGUUGAACAGGCAAGAACAUUCUCUGAGCAAACAAAAUUCAAAGGAGAAGUUUAUGCAGAUCCUAGUCACUCAUCAUAUGAUGCUUUAAGUUUUGUAUCUGGGGUUUCAACCACAUUUACUCCCAAAGCAGGUCUUAAGAUAAUACAAUCUUACAUGGCGGGUUAUCGACAAGAUUGGAAGCUUUCAUUUGAAAAGGAUACUGUUAGCAGAGGUGGCUGGAGACAAGGAGGAAUUAUAGUUGCAGGACCUGGUAAAAGCAAUAUAUUGUACAUACACAAGGAUAAGGAAGCAGGGGAUGACCCGAAUAUUGAAGAUAUAUAAAAGCAUGCUGUAUGUGAAGAAUUAGUGAUCGGUAGUCAUUGUGGUAAAUGAAUAUUGUUGAUGUUUAGCUCUAUCCCGCCAAAAACAAAGAAUUCUGCAAAUAAACGCGGUCGUUUUAGGAGUUUGUGCCACAGCAAAUGAAUUUUCUUAUGUCAACACCGUUCGUGCUCACUACUUCACUUGCCCUAACGAAGGAUUACAUUACAUUGCCCGCAAAAUGGCCGACAAGAAAA
RNA transcript from Mangifera indica (mango), 1072 nucleotides. It is a transcript of the gene named thioredoxin-like protein AAED1, chloroplastic, with no coding region annotated. The transcript is spliced from 10 exons. NCBI's taxonomy places the organism in Eukaryota, Viridiplantae, Streptophyta, Magnoliopsida, Sapindales, Anacardiaceae. The record is from RefSeq and is a predicted model, not a curated record.